This 484-nucleotide ribosomal RNA is filed under the name uncultured bacterium. RNAcentral describes it as "partial 16S ribosomal RNA". It matches the Rfam family "Bacterial small subunit ribosomal RNA", at positions 29 to 507 of the family's 1533-position model. The record is from RNAcentral.
AUUGAACGCUGGCGGCAUGCUUUACACAUGCAAGUCGAACGGCAGCGCUGGCUUCGCCCUGGCGGCGAGUGGCGUACGGGUGAGUAAUGCAUCGGAACGUGCCCAGUAGUGGGGGAUAGCCCGGCGAAAUCCGGAUUAAUACCGCAUACUCCCUGAGGGUGAAAGCGUUGGACCGAAAGGCCUCGCGCUAUUGUAGCGGCCGAUGUCGGAUUAGCCAGUUGGUGGGGUAAAGGCUUACCCAGGCGACGAUCCGUAGCUGGUCUGAGAGGACGACCAGCCACACGGGGACUGAGAAACGGCACAGACUCCUACGGGAGGCAGCAGUGGGGAAUUUUGGACAAUGGGGGCAAGCCUGAUCCAGCCAUGCCGCGUGAGGGAAGAAGGCCUUAGGGUUGUAAACCGCUUUUGUUCGGGAAGAAAUACUCUGGGCUAAUACCCCGGGGGGAUGACGGUACCGGAAGAAUAAGCACCGGCUAACUACGUG